Molecule: long non-coding RNA, 1115 nt
Organism: Uranotaenia lowii
Lineage: Eukaryota; Metazoa; Arthropoda; Insecta; Diptera; Culicidae
Exons: 3
Source: RefSeq, a predicted model, not a curated record
GGUCAUGAAUCGGCUAUAAUUGAAAAAUUCAUCACCAGCGGAGCCGUCUCAAUUACAGCAGUAAUGUUUCAGUGCACAGCAGCGAAAUGCUUCCAGCACUACUGGAUCGGGCGUGACCAGCUGCAUUUUCACCUCUUCCAGGACAACAAUCCAAAGCUGAUUAAAACCGCAUCAAAGUCCUCCAGGUGACUCGGAUUGUUCAAUGCUCCAACUCUUGAGUUGCUGCUUGAUGUUAAAGCGGAUGUCGAAUGAAGAAGAAUCAGGAGCCUGGUGUCGGUAUACGACGUGGAUGCGGUAUCUCAACAAAAUAUGGUGCUGAAGCAAACGGGUCGCCCAGGAAUGAUCAUCGCUUGAUUGAUACCAUUCGCAUCCGGGUCUCGGUGUAGAAGUUAUCCCGGAACGAGCUAUAACAUUCGUGGUCGAUCGAAUUCAAACUGUCAAGGUCGUGAUUGACGCCUUUCGGUUAACCAAUCCUACCGCGCUUGAGCUGGGCCAGGAAUCCAGGCAAAUAACUUAGAAUAACCUUAUUAACAUCGGCUACCGGAAGUACGAGCUGAGGCAUAAUAAAAACCCUGGAUGGAUAUUUUUACGUGUCAAAUGACACUGAGCAAUCAACAAAGAGUACACAGACCCGGGAUUCCCUGUGAACGAACUACUUUAGCUGUCGCACGACAUCCUUGACGACUAUAUGAAUCAGGUACUCGAGCUGCUGAAAACCGAAUUCAACUUGGCCAUCACUCUGUUGCGGUUGAUUUCGACGCGAUCAGCAGCACCAAGGCGGACAUCACAUACGAACGCUAAAAGUACCUAUCGUGCCGUAUAUCCAUGUAUGCCCUAGGUAUCCGAUAUUUUGAAAAAGUACGCCGAAGUUGGUAUCACCCGAACGAGCUGCAAAAACGGUACACAUUUUCCGCCACGCUUCGGAAAGGACACCCGGUUCCAGCAGGUCGUGCUCAAUUUUCAGCAGAUAUUUUCAUGGACUUCCCUGGAUAACAUCAUCGCACCCGAGUUUUUCCAGAAUUCGUUUUACUGGUACGGUAGAAAGUAUCGUUCACCACAGCGCCUGACCUUUUUUUUCUCAACAGAUUUUAGGCGUCGUUAUGGCUUAUUCAUCU